RNAcentral lists this ribosomal RNA (449 nucleotides) under uncultured bacterium. RNAcentral's name for it is "partial 16S ribosomal RNA". It matches the Rfam family "Bacterial small subunit ribosomal RNA", at positions 29 to 523 of the family's 1533-position model. The record is from RNAcentral.
AGCGAACGCUGGCGGCAGGCCUAACACAUGCAAGUCGAACGAACCCUUCGGGGUUAGUGGCGGACGGGUGAGUAACACGUGGGAACGUGCCUUUAGGUUCGGAAUAACUCAGGGAAACUUGUGCUAAUACCGAAUGUGCCCUUCGGGGGAAAGAUUUAUCGCCUUUAGAGCGGCCCGCGUCUGAUUAGCUAGUUGGUGAGGUAAUGGCUCACCAAGGCUACGAUCAGUAGCUGGUCUGAGAGGAUGACCAGCCACAUUGGGACUGAGACACGGCCCAAACUCCUACGGGAGGCAGCAGUGGGGAAUCUUGUGCAAUGGGCGAAAGCCUGACGCAGCCAUGCCGCGUGGAUGAUGAAGGUCUUAGGAUUGUAAAAUCCUUUCACCGGUGAAGAUAAUGACUGUAGCCGGAGAAGAAGCCCCGGCUAACUUCGUGCCAGCCGCCGCCGUAA